AUUUGACUGUAUCGAAAGUACAAUUAUCCCUGAAGUGUCCUAACUCGAUGAAGAGGCUAGAGACCCGGCCCUGUUAGAACGGCAAAUGUCCCAUCUGCAGGUUGAAAGGACCUCUUUUGACAGAUGGAAUUAUCUUUAAAUUCCUGGAGUAUUUUAAGGGGUGUAUCGUAGAAAUCAAUAGUAAAGGGCUAGCUGUAGAGGUUGAGCAAUGUGAUGACACAAUUAUUGAUUUAACUGAGAGCUUUAACUCCUCCUGUUGUAUCCCCAAGAUUAUCUCCGCUCCAAACCUGACGAAGAAGAGGUCUGCAUUGCAACUUUAAUAAAAGCAAACCAGGGUAAAAGCAAGGUGAAACGGCCAGUCAAAAUA
Long non-coding RNA from Eurytemora carolleeae, 367 nucleotides. RefSeq lists it as uncharacterized. NCBI's taxonomy places the organism in Eukaryota, Metazoa, Arthropoda, Copepoda, Calanoida, Temoridae. The record is from RefSeq and is a predicted model, not a curated record. The transcript is spliced from 4 exons.